AGGGAGUUUGAUCCUGGCUCAGGAUGAACGCUAGCGGCAGGCUUAACACAUGCAAGUCGAGGGGCAGCGGGUCGUAGCAAUACGAUGCCGGCGACCGGCGCAAGGGUGCGUAACGCGUGAGCAAUCUGCCCGUAACAGGGGUAUAACGGAGGGAAACUUCCACUAAUCCCCCAUAUUGUUGGAGAUUCGCAUGUUUCUCCAACGAAAGGUUUUUCUGGUUACGGAUGGGCAUGCGUGACAUUAGCUAGUUGGUGGGGCAACGGCCCACCAAGGCGACGAUGUCUAGGGGAGCUGAGAGGCUUAUCCCCCACACUGGUACUGAGACACGGACCAGACUCCUACGGGAGGCAGCAGUGAGGAAUAUUGGUCAAUGGAGGGAACUCUGAACCAGCCAUGCCGCGUGGAGGAAGAAGGUCCUAUGGGUUGUAAACUCCUUUUGUUCCGGAGUAAUAAGUGCCUUGCGAGGCACGAUGAGAGUACGGGACGAAUAAGCAUCGGCUAACUCCGUGCCAGCAGCCGCGGUAAUACGGAGGAUGCAAGCGUUAUCCGGAUUUAUUGGGUUUAAAGGGUGCGCAGGCGGCCUGGCAAGUCAGCGGUGAAAGCCCGGGGCCCAACCCCGGAAGUGCCGUUGAUACUGUUGGGCUCGAAUGCGGUCGAGGCGGGCGGAACGUGGCGUGUAGCGGUGAAAUGCGUAGAUAUGCCACAGAACGCCGAUAGCGAAGGCAGCUCGCCAGGCCUGCAUUGACGCUCGGGCACGAAAGCGUGGGGAUCGAACAGGAUUAGAUACCCUGGUAGUCCCCU
Molecule: ribosomal RNA, 801 nt
Filed under: uncultured Bacteroidota bacterium
Lineage: Bacteria; Pseudomonadati; Bacteroidota
Description: bacterial SSU rRNA
Rfam family: Bacterial small subunit ribosomal RNA
Source: RNAcentral